UAUCUUUGAUCUCUUGCCUCUUUAUCUUCCAAACCUAAAAUGUUUACCACCUGGCCCUUUACAGAAAAAUAUUUGCCAGUCCCUGCUGUAGAAGGUUAUAUAGCCAGCAGCUUUCAAAGUAACCUUUUACCUGGAAAUGUGAAUUCUCUCUUAGUUCUGGUCAUCUGUUAUUUGUGGGAGCCAAUCCUCUCUCUGUUGGCUGAUGAUGAGAAUUCUGUUAUAUACCACAACACAAACUUGGGGAUAAAACUUUCCAUUAGGCAUUUCUGUAAAAUUUCCAUCUAUUUUAGAAGCAGAACUAAGGUGAAGCCCAGUGUGAAUGAAUCCUGCUUGUUGGUACAAGCCAAGUGGGACAUUUGGCAGCAAAGCCCAGGAGUCCUUGGUGCUCUUCUUUUAACUGCCUCCUCAUCUCAUUGGGCUGCCCGGUGUUAACUGGUUGAUUAUCACCUCUGUGUUUUGCCUGCAAGGAAAGAAGCUACUGACACCCAGAGUGGCUCAGCGAUACUCACACGUGCUUUCAGUUACUUUCGCAGCAUUUGGUUAAAGUGAGUUUAGCUGCACAUCCUCACUUGGUAACAUUCUGUGGCUGUGAAAAUUGUUUCUCUCUU
Long non-coding RNA from Homo sapiens (human), 608 nucleotides. RefSeq annotates it as FKSG29. NCBI's taxonomy places the organism in Eukaryota, Metazoa, Chordata, Mammalia, Primates, Hominidae. The record is from RefSeq and is marked predicted. The transcript has a single exon.